RNAcentral lists this ribosomal RNA (924 nucleotides) under fungal sp. RNAcentral describes it as "mitochondrial SSU rRNA". The stretch from base 191 to 924 matches the Rfam family "Bacterial small subunit ribosomal RNA", at positions 1 to 1155 of the family's 1533-position model. Lineage: Eukaryota; Fungi. The record is from RNAcentral.
ACUUGGGGGACGUAUAAGUUUAUUUAUUAAACUAAUUACACUGGAGGUUAUAUAUUGAAAAAAAGAAGAAACACAUGCCCAGUAUAUAAUAGACUUCUUAAUUAAUUUAAGGGGUACUUUUGACAUUUUGAUAUGUAUAUAUCCAAAACUGCAAUAACAGUUUUUGUCAAUUAAUUAUCAUGUACUUUUUUUAAUUGAAAAGUAUUAAAUUGAACUUUAGUUCAGUGGACAGUGUAAUAGCGAUUUAGUCGCAUAAAGUUCUAGAUAGAAUACUGAUUAUGACAAUUUUCUAUCUAUAUGUCUUGACCAAAUUACGUGCCAGCAGUCGCGGCAAUACGUAGAAGACUAGUGUUAUUCAUCUUUAGUAGGUUUAAAGGGUACCUAGACGGUGUAAUUAGUCUUAAACAAGAUACAGUUAUACUAGAGUUAUAUAUGAGGAGGUGAGUAUUUGUGGAGUAGAGUUGAAAUUCUUUGAUACCAUGAGGACUGGUAAGGGCGAAAGCAACCUUUUAUCUAAUAACUGACGUUGAGGGACGAAGGCUUGGGUAGCAAACAGGAUUAGAUACCCUAGUAGUCCAAGCAGAAAAUGAUGAAUGCCAUAGAUUAGAUGUUUAUUUGGUCUAUAAAUGAAAGUGUAAGCAUUUCACCUCAAGAGUAAUGUGGCAACGCAGGAACUGAAAUCAUUAGACCGUUUCUGAAACCAGUAGUGAAGUAUGUUAUUUAAUUCGUAAGUACGCGAAAAACCUUACCACAACUUGGAAUAUUAUUUUUAGGAGUAUAAAUUAUUUAUAUUUUAUAUUUUUAAUAUAUUACAAGCGUUGCACGGCUGUCUUCAGUUAAUGUCGUGAGAUAUUGGUUAAUUCCAUUAAAUUAACGGAAACCCUUGCUUUAUUUGCGAAAAUUAUAAAUAAAGCAGACCACCUU